RNAcentral lists this ribosomal RNA (440 nucleotides) under uncultured bacterium. RNAcentral's name for it is "partial 16S ribosomal RNA". It matches the Rfam family "Bacterial small subunit ribosomal RNA", at positions 338 to 795 of the family's 1533-position model. The record is from RNAcentral.
CCUACGGGAGGCAGCAGUGGGGAAUAUUGCAAAAUGGGGAAAACCCUAUUGCAGCGACGCCGCGUGAGUGAAGAGUUAUUUCGGAAUGAAAGGCUCUAUGAGAAGGGAGGAAAAUGACGGUACCUGAUUAAGAAGCCCCGGCUAACUACGUGCCAGCGGCCGCGGUAAUACGUAGGGGGAAAGCAUUAUCCGGAUUUACUGGUUGUAAGGGGAGCGUAGACGGCAGCACAAGUCUGGAUUGAAAUGCCGGGGCUUAACCCCGGAACUGCUUUGGAAAGUGUGCAGCUAGAGUGCAGGAGAAGUAAGUGGAAUUCCUAGUGUAGCGGUGAAAUGCUUAGAUAUUAGGAGGAACACCAGUGGCGAAGGCGGCUUACUGGACUGUAACUGACGUUGAGGCUCGAAAGCGUGGGGAGCAAACAGGAGUAGAUACCCGUGUAGUC